Molecule: ribosomal RNA, 485 nt
Filed under: uncultured bacterium
Lineage: Bacteria
Description: partial 16S ribosomal RNA
Rfam family: Bacterial small subunit ribosomal RNA
Source: RNAcentral
ACGAACGCUGGCGGCGUGCUUAACACAUGCAAGUCGAACGCUGAAGACCUGGCUUUUGUUGGGUUGGAUGAGUGGCGAACGGGUGAGUAACACGUGAGUAACCUGCCCUCUUCUUUGGGAUAACGCCCGGAAACGGGUGCUAAUACUGGAUAUUCACUGAUCUUCGCAUGGGGGUUGGUGGAAAGGUUUGUUCUGGUGGGGGAUGGGCUCGCGGCCUAUCAGCUUGUUGGUGGGGUGAUGGCCUACCAAGGCUUUGACGGGUAGCCGGCCUGAGAGGGUGACCGGUCACAUUGGGACUGAGAUACGGCCCAGACUCCUACGGGAGGCAGCAGUGGGGAAUAUUGCACAAUGGGCGAAAGCCUGAUGCAGCGGCGCCGCGUGAGGGAUGGAGGCCUUCGGGUUGUAAACCUCUUUCGCUCAUGGUCAAGCCGCAACUGUGGGUUGUGGUGAGGGUAGUGGGUAAAGAAGCGCCGGCUAACUACGUG